AGACAGUGAAUCAUGCUUACCAUGCAGUCGAGCGGGGGAGAUUGCUUCGGUAAUUGACCUAGCGGCGGACGGGUGAGUAAUACUUAGGAAUCUGCCUAUUAAUGGGGGACAACAUCUCGAAAGGGAUGCUAAUACCGCAUACGCCCUACGGGGGAAAGCAGGGGAUCACUUGUGACCUUGCGUUAAUAGAUGAGCCUAAGUCGGAUUAGCUAGUUGGUGGGGUAAAGGCCUACCAAGGCGACGAUCUGUAGCGGGUCUGAGAGGAUGAUCCGCCACACUGGGACUGAGACACGGCCCAGACUCCUACGGGAGGCAGCAGUGGGGAAUAUUGGACAAUGGGGGGAACCCUGAUCCAGCCAUGCCGCGUGUGUGAAGAAGGCCUUAUGGUUGUAAAGCACUUUAAGCGAGGAGGAGGCUCUUUUGGUUAAUACCCAAGAUGAGUGGACGUUACUCGCAGAAUAAGCACCGGCUAACUCUGUGCCAGCAGCCGCGGUAAUACAGAGGGUGCGAGCGUUAAUCGGAUUUACUGGGCGUAAAGCGUGCGUAGGCGGCUUUUUAAGUCGGAUGUGAAAUCCCCGAGCUUAACUUGGGAAUUGCAUUCGAUACUGGGAAGCUAGAGUAUGGGAGAGGAUGGUAGAAUUCCAGGUGUAGCGGUGAAAUGCGUAGAGAUCUGGAGGAAUACCGAUGGUGAAGGCAGCCAUCUGGACUAAUACUGACGCUGAUGUACGAAAGCAUGGGGAGCAAACAGGAUUAGAUACCCUGAUAGUCCAUGCCGUAAACGAUGUCUACUAGCCGUUGGGGUCAUUGAGACUUUAGUGGCGCAGCUAACGCGAUAAGUAGACCGCCUGGAGAGUACGGUCGCAAGACUAACACUCAGAUGAAUUGACGGGGUCCGCACAACGGAGAAGAAUGUGCUUCAAUCGAUGCACGAGAAGAACCUUACCUGGUCU
Molecule: ribosomal RNA, 950 nt
Filed under: Acinetobacter sp. OVC7
Lineage: Bacteria; Pseudomonadati; Pseudomonadota; Gammaproteobacteria; Moraxellales; Moraxellaceae
Description: bacterial SSU rRNA
Rfam family: Bacterial small subunit ribosomal RNA
Source: RNAcentral